UACCAGCUCUCCGAGUGGUAGGGACGAUUAUUGGGCUUAAAGCGCCCGUAGCCGGUCAGGUAAAUGUCCCGUUAAAUCUAACGACUUAAUCGUUGGACUGCGGGAUAGACUGCCUGACUAGGGGACGGGAGAGGUCGACGGUAUUUCUGGGGUAGGAGUGAAAUCCUAUAAUCCCAGGAGGACCACCAGUGGCGAAGGCGGUCGACUAGAACGGGCCCGACGGUGAGGGACGAAAGCUGGGGGAGCGAACCGGAUUAGAUACCCGGGUAGUCCCAGCUGUAAACGAUGCGGGCUAGGUGUUGGAUCGGCUACGGGCCGAUUCGGUGCCGCAGGGAAACCAUUAAGCCCGCCGCCUGGGUAGUACGGCCGCAAGGCUGAAACUUAAAGGAAUUGGCGGGGGAGCACCACAAGGGGUGAAGCUUGCGGUUUAAUUGGAGUCAACGCCGGGAACCUUACCGGGAGCGACAGCAGAAUGAAGGCCAGAUUGAAGGUCUUGCUGGACGAGCUGAGAGGAGAUGCAUGGCCGUCGCCAGUUCGUGCCGUGAGGUGUCCCCUUAAGUGAGGCAACGGUCGAGACCCGCACCUCUUGUUGCCAGCGGAUCCCGUUGGGAUGCCGGGCACACUAGAGGGACCGCCGUCGAUAAGACGGAGGAAGGAGCGGGCCACGGCAGGUCAGUAUGCCCCGAAUCUCCCGGGCCACACGCGAGCUGCAAUGGUAGGGACAAUGGGUUCCGACUCCGAAAGGAGAAGGUAAUCUCGAAACCCUGCCUCAGUUGGGAUCGAGGGCUGUAACCCGUCCUCGUGAACAUGGAAUCCCUAGUAAUCGCGUGUCAUCAGCGCGCGGUGAAUACGUCCCUGCUCCU
This 863-nucleotide ribosomal RNA is filed under the name uncultured archaeon. RNAcentral's name for it is "SSU rRNA". It matches the Rfam family "Archaeal small subunit ribosomal RNA", at positions 474 to 1337 of the family's 1478-position model. The record is from RNAcentral.